UACGUAGGGUGCAAGCGUUGUCCGGAUUCAUUGGGCGUAAAGAGCUCGUAGGCGGUUCGGUAAGUCAGGUGUGAAAACUCCAGGCUCAACUUGGAGACGCCACCUGAUACUGUCGUGACUAGAGUCCGGUAGGGGAGCAUGGAAUUCCUGGUGUAGCGGUGAAAUGCGCAGAUAUCAGGAGGAACACCAGCGGCGAAGGCGGUGCUCUGGGCCGGAACUGACGCUGAGGAGCGAAAGCGUGGGGAGCGAACAGG
RNAcentral lists this ribosomal RNA (254 nucleotides) under uncultured bacterium. RNAcentral describes it as "partial 16S ribosomal RNA". It matches the Rfam family "Bacterial small subunit ribosomal RNA", at positions 524 to 776 of the family's 1533-position model. The record is from RNAcentral.